UAGUUGAACCUUGGGCCUGGCUGGCCGGUCCGCCUCACCGCGUGUACUGGUCCGGCCGGGCCUUUCCCUCUGUGGAACCCCAUGCCCUUCACUGGGUGUGGCGGGGAAACAGGACUUUUACUGUGAAAAAAUUAGAGUGCUCCAGGCAGGCCUAUGCUCGAAUACAUUAGCAUGGAAUAAUAGAAUAGGACGUGUGGUUCUAUUUUGUUGGUUUCUAGGACCGCCGUAAUGAUUAAUAGGGACAGUCGGGGGCAUCAGUAUUCAAUUGUCAGAGGUGAAAUUCUUGGAUUUAUUGAAGACUAACUACUGCGAAAGCAUUUGCCAAGGAUGUUUUCAUUAAUCAGGAACGAAAGUUAGGGGAUCGAAGACGAUCAGAUACCGUCGUAGUCUUAACCAUAAACUAUGCCGACUAGGGAUCGGACGGUGUUAUUUUUUGACCCGUUCGGCACCUUACGAGAAAUCAAAGUGCUUGGGCUCCAGGGGGAGUAUGGUCGCAAGGCUGAAACUUAAAGAAAUUGACGGAAGGGCACCACCAGGGGUGGAGCCUGCGGCUUAAUUUGACUCAACACGGGGAAACUCACCAGGUCCAGACACAAUAAGGAUU
This 604-nucleotide ribosomal RNA is filed under the name Fusarium tricinctum. Its description in RNAcentral is "SSU rRNA". It matches the Rfam family "Eukaryotic small subunit ribosomal RNA", at positions 631 to 1241 of the family's 1831-position model. The record is from RNAcentral. Lineage: Eukaryota; Fungi; Ascomycota; Sordariomycetes; Hypocreales; Nectriaceae.